GUUCUUGCUUGGAUAGUACAUACAGUAAAACUGGAACAGUACAGAGAAAACUGGCAUGAUUCCUACAUACAGAUGACACACAAAUUCGUGAAGUGUUUCAUAUGUUU
Camelus dromedarius (Arabian camel) is the source of this 107-nucleotide small nuclear RNA. The record is from Ensembl. Lineage: Eukaryota; Metazoa; Chordata; Mammalia; Artiodactyla; Camelidae.